This 402-nucleotide ribosomal RNA is filed under the name uncultured bacterium. RNAcentral's name for it is "partial 16S ribosomal RNA". It matches the Rfam family "Bacterial small subunit ribosomal RNA", at positions 360 to 776 of the family's 1533-position model. The record is from RNAcentral.
AAUAUUGGGCAAUGGGGGAAACCCUGACCCAGCAACGCCGCGUGAGGGAAGAAGGUCUUCGGAUCGUAAACCUCUGUCCUUGGGGACGAAAAAAAUGACGGUACCUGAGGAGGAAGCCCCGGCUAACUAAGUGCCAGCAGCCGCGGUAAUAUGUAGGGGGCAAGCGUUGUCCGGAAUGAUUGGGCGUAAAGGGCGCGUAGGCGGCCUGUUAAGGCUGGAGUGAAAGUCCUACUUUCAAGGUGGGAAUUGCUUUGGAAACUGGCGGGCUGGAGUGCAGGAGAGGUUAGCGGAAUUUCCUGUGUAGCGGUGAAAUGCGUAGAUAUAGGAAGGAACAUCAGUGGCGAAGGCGACUACCUGGACUGAUACUGACACUGAAGUGCGAAAGCGUGGGGAGCAAACAGG